RNAcentral lists this ribosomal RNA (402 nucleotides) under uncultured Sphingobacteriales bacterium. RNAcentral describes it as "bacterial SSU rRNA". It matches the Rfam family "Bacterial small subunit ribosomal RNA", at positions 980 to 1382 of the family's 1533-position model. The record is from RNAcentral. Lineage: Bacteria; Pseudomonadati; Bacteroidota; Sphingobacteriia; Sphingobacteriales.
CUUAAAUGUAGAGUGCAUGAUGUGGAAACAUGUCUUCCCUUCGGGGCUCUCUGCAAGGUGCUGCAUGGUUGUCGUCAGCUCGUGCCGUGAGGUGUCGGGUUAAGUCCCAUAACGAGCGCAACCCUUAUCGUUAGUUGCCAGCGGGUAAUGCCGGGAACUCUAACGAAACUGCCGGUGUAAACCGAGAGGAAGGUGGGAUUGACGUCAAAUCAGCACGGCCCUUAUGUCCAGGGCUACACACGUGUUACAAUGGCCGGUACAGAGGGCAGCUACCUGGAGACAGGAUGCGAAUCUCGAAAGCCGGUCUCAGUUCGGAUCGGAGUCUGCAACUCGACUCCGUGAAGCUGGAUUCGCUAGUAAUCGCGCAUCAGCCAUGGCGCGGUGAAUACGUUCCCGGGCCUU